RNAcentral lists this ribosomal RNA (406 nucleotides) under uncultured bacterium. Its description in RNAcentral is "partial 16S ribosomal RNA". It matches the Rfam family "Bacterial small subunit ribosomal RNA", at positions 29 to 526 of the family's 1533-position model. The record is from RNAcentral.
AUUGAACGCUGGCGGCAGGCCUAACACAUGCAAGUCGAACGAGUGGCGGACGGAUCAGUAAUGUCUGGGAAACUGCCUGAUGGAGGGGGAUAACUACUGGAAACGGUCGCUAAUACCGCAUACCCAAGGCUGUGCCGAGAUGGGAUUAGCUAGUAGGUGGGGGAAAGGCUCACCUAGGCGACGAUCCCUAGCGGGUCUGAGAGGAUGACCAGCUACACUGCAACUGAGACACGGCCCAGACUCCUACGGGAGGCAGCAGUGGGGAAUAUUGCACAAGGGGCGCAAGCCUGAUGCAGCCAUGCCGCGUGUAUGAAGAAGGCCGUCGGGUUGUAAAGUACUGUCAGCGGGGAGGCGUUACCCGAAGAAGAAGCACCGGCUAACUCCGUGCCAGCAGCCGCGGUAAUUC